UAGUUUCCGGGCACCGACGGCGCCACCCUUUACCCCCGGUUGGUGACACCAACCGGGACAAAAGGUUUUGUCCCGGUUGAAGUUACCAACCGGGAUAAACUUUUUACUCCCGAUUGGUAAGUCCAACCGGGAUAAAAGCUUCAAAGGUUGAAGCUUUUGUCCCAGUUGGCGUUAUCAACCGGGAGUAACCACCAACCGGGACAAAAGCUCUAAUCUUUUAUCCCGGUUGGAUUUACCAACCGGGAUAAAAUCUUAUCUACAAGUGCCCUUUCUUCCUCAUCCACUCCUCCAGCCCGAGCCACUCCACUCCACAAAGACAGAGAAGCUCAUCCUCUCUAUGGCGCCGAAGCAAGCCUAGGGGAGGUGCUGCUGAAAUUUUUUUCCUCAUUUCUGUGGGAAUUUCACCCAUCCAAAGUGUUGUGAAGGUUAGCUACUUCAUGCUCCGUUCAUUUAUUGUUGUUAAGCUUUGUUUUAUACUUUAGAGAGGGAAAAAAAUUAGUUUGUUAGUUGUUAAGCAUGUAGAGGAUUUGUAUUUAUACAUAUUUUUGAGCUACAAUUUGAUGGAUAGUUUCAAUGUGAGGGAGAAUGGACAGUAAUUGUGAGGUAGAAUUGAGAUUAUUUCAAUUUUAUGUAUUAGGGAAAAAUUAGAGUAUAUGUGUUUUUAAUACUUAUAAAUUAGCCAUAUAAAUUGUAGGUAUAAUUGUAUACUUUAGUACUUUUCAGAUAGAGGUAUGUAAUUAGCCAUUUUUAGAAUAAGUACAUUAUGUGGGAAAUAUUGAAUUUUUUAAUAGUUUAGUUAUUUGUAAAUUAAAUAUGAGAUAAAUAAUUUGUGUAUGUCUAUGUAAACUUUCAGCAAUAUUUGAGUUUGUCGUACUGUAUGAUGCUGUUUGCUUCUGAAAUUUUAAUUUGUGUAUUUCUAUCUAAAUUUGUAGUAAUAUGAUGGAUAGUUUUAUUGUAAUCCAUUUUAUUGAUGGCUUGCGUAAUAC
This 986-nucleotide long non-coding RNA is filed under the name Setaria viridis. RNAcentral describes it as "long non-coding RNA (SVIR_LNC003309)". Lineage: Eukaryota; Viridiplantae; Streptophyta; Magnoliopsida; Poales; Poaceae. The record is from RNAcentral.